UCCAGCUCCAGUAGCGUAUAUUAAAGUUGUUGCAGUUAGAACGCUCGUAGUCGGAUUUCGGGGCGAGCCUUCCGGUCUGCCGAUGGGUACGCACUGGUCGGCGCGUCCUUCCUUCCGGAGACCGUGCCUACUCUUAACUGAGCGGGGGCGGGAGACGGAACGUUUACUUUGAAAAAAUCAGAGUGUUUCAAGCAGGCAGCUCGCUCUUGCAUGGAUUAGCAUGGGAUAAUGAAAUAGGACUUUGGUGCUAUUUUGUUGGUUUCGAACACCGAAGUAAUGAUGAGAAGGGACAGUCAGGGGCACUCGUAUUCCGUUGAGAGAGGUGAAAUUCUCAGACCAGCGGAAGACGAACCACUGCGAAAGCAUUUGCCAGGGAUGUUUUCACUGAUCAAGAACGAAAGUUAGGGGAUCGAAGACGAUCAGAUACCGUCGUAGUCUUAACCAUAAACCAUGCCGACUAGGGAUUGGAGGAUGUUCACAUAUUGACUCCUUCAGCACCUUUCAGGAAACUAAAGUCUUUGGGUUCCGGGGGGAGUAUGGUCGCAAGGCUGAAACUUAAAGGAAUUGACGGAAGGGCACCACCAGGUGUGGAGCCUGCGGCUUAAUUUGACUCAACACGGGGAAACUUACCAGGUCCAGACAUUGUGAGGAUUGACAGAUUGAGAGCUCUUUCUUGAUUCGAUGGGUGGUGGUGCAUGGCCGUUCUUAGUUGGUGGAGUGAUUUGUCUGGUUAAUUCCGUUAACGAACGAGACCUUAGCCUGCUAAAUAGUGACGCAAACACUUCGUUUGUGGGCCACUUCUUAGAGGGACAACUUGUCUUCAACAAGUGGAAGUUUGAGGCAAUAAC
Molecule: ribosomal RNA, 848 nt
Filed under: uncultured eukaryote
Lineage: Eukaryota
Description: SSU rRNA
Rfam family: Eukaryotic small subunit ribosomal RNA
Source: RNAcentral